This 538-nucleotide ribosomal RNA is filed under the name uncultured bacterium. RNAcentral's name for it is "partial 16S ribosomal RNA". It matches the Rfam family "Bacterial small subunit ribosomal RNA", at positions 355 to 891 of the family's 1533-position model. The record is from RNAcentral.
UAGGGAAUAUUGGGCAAUGGACGGAAGUCUGACCCAGCCAUGCCGCGUGCAGGAAGAAGGUCCUCUGGAUUGUAAACUGCUUUAGACGGGGAAGAAUAAGGAUCAUGCGUGAUCUGAUGACGGUACCCGUAGAAUAAGCACGGCUAACUACGUGCCAGCAGCCGCGGUAAUACGUAGGGUGCGAGCGUUGUCCGGAUUUAUUGGGUUUAAAAGGGGUGCGUAGGCGGGGAGAGUAAGUUCGCUUUUAAAGCCGGCCGCUUAACGGUCAGGUAGGGGGCGGAUACUGCUUUUCUUGAGAGGGCUCGGGCUGGCGGAAUUUGUGGUGUAGCGGUGAAAUGCAUAGAUACCACAAGGAACACCGAUCGCGUAGGCAGCCAGCCAGGGGCCUUUCUGACGCUGAGGCACGAAAGUGCGGGGAGCAAACAGGAUUAGAUACCCUGGUAGUCCGCACUGUAAACGAUGCAUACUCGGUGUCGGCUCGUAGAGCCGGUGCCUGAGGGAAACCGAUAAGUAUGCCACCUGGGGAGUACGCCGGCAA